UACGGAGGGGGCUAGUGUUGUUCGGAAUUACUGGGCGUAAAGGGCGCGCAGGCGGCUUGGCAAGUCGAGUGUGAAAUCCCUUGGCCUAACUAAGGAAUGGCGCUCGAAACUACCUCGCUAGAGGACGGGAGAGGGAAGUGGAACUCUCGGUGUAGGGGUGAAAUCUGUAGAUAUCGAGAGGAACACCGGUGGCGAAGGCGGCUUCCUGGCCCGUAGCUGACGCUGAGGCGCGAAAGCGUGGGGAGCAAACAGG
This 253-nucleotide ribosomal RNA is filed under the name uncultured bacterium. RNAcentral describes it as "partial 16S ribosomal RNA". It matches the Rfam family "Bacterial small subunit ribosomal RNA", at positions 524 to 776 of the family's 1533-position model. The record is from RNAcentral.